This 6083-nucleotide long non-coding RNA is filed under the name Panicum hallii. Its description in RNAcentral is "long non-coding RNA (PHAL_LNC000484)". Lineage: Eukaryota; Viridiplantae; Streptophyta; Magnoliopsida; Poales; Poaceae. The record is from RNAcentral.
UGCGAACAACAACUGGUUUCCCCUUUCGUUUAUUCCCGCACCCGACUGCCCCUGCCCCUCCUCUCCUCUUCCCCACCUCCUCUCCCUCGAGCAGCUCCACGCGCGACGCCACCCCCGAUGCUCUCGCCGCGCCUCAUUGGAUCCCGGGGAGCAAUCGCGACGAUCGGGACCGCACGGCGGCGCGACUCAGGGCCGCGGAGGCCGGCGCUGGCAGCUCGAGCUCGCGGCUGCGGCGAGGUCGGUGGCUAGGUCUCUCGCCGCCUGGCGAUUCCAGCCCUAAUCGCUGCUUAGGUUUAAUCCCGUUUCGCUGCUGGCUCGCGCGCGGCGGGAUGCUGCUUAGGGAUUACGGUCUCUCGGGGGCCGAAUGCUUUGUUGGGGGGUUCAAUUUAGGUUAGCUUUUGCUCGGCGAUUGACCUGUGCUGAGUUUGAGCGUAGACGCUUCCGGCUGCCAUUUUCCGGCGCUCGGGGUCGGGAAUUGCGUCAGCGUUGAUCGAAUUUGCUAGGGAUUGAGCUGCUGGGGUUGUGGGCUUGCUGAAAUUUGGGGUGUUCCCCGCUUUAGGUUUAGGGCGAUUGGGUUUGGCGCCGCAAUUUGGGAAUCCGUCGUUUCCGCGCUUCAGGCCUCGUCCUGAUCGCAUUUAGUUUACUUGGGCGCUUUGAUCUGUGCUGCAUCCGAAGCAUUUUGUUUUGGAACUGGUUUUAGCAUAACCUGAUUGUUUCCUUUUUGUACAUGGGCAUCGGUAUACUGCUUUAUUUUGGAUGCAAUACGUGAUUGUUCAGUUUGCGGUUUGCGGCUUCUAUUGAUCUCUUCGGCGCCAGUAGUAGGGUUCCAUUUGACGGUCUGGCUAAAUAGGCAUAUUGCUUUAAUACAGGAUUUUUUAUGUUGCGGGAGCUCCUUGUGGUGGUCAGAUGGUUUGCUCCUUUUCUGUUACCUUAGUGAUAGAUUUUUUUCACUGCUAGAUUUUUAUGCUCGAUCUGAUCUCCUAGCUUAGGUUUACCUCAGUCUAGUACUAAAUUUUGUGUUUUGAUGCUUAGAUUGGUUGCGAUGAGGGCUAUUUAGUAGUUUCAUGCUAGCAUCGUAGCUCAAAGAUUUCCUUUUGAUGUGGGUAUUUUGAGUAGUAACACUCAAUCUUCAGUAUGGCAUUCGAAUGACUUGUGUUGAUAUUAUUGAUAGACAACAUAUUUGACUUAACGGGAAAUUUUGGAGUUUCUGGGGCUCCAACCUUCAACUGUACUUUGUUCAGAUUGCCUUAGCACAUAAUGGUAAUACGGUAUGCACUUUUUCUUGCCACAGGUCUGGAGAGAUGAGGCAUCCUCAUGUCCUCAGCACUCUUUGGGUGUAUUUGAAGCGUGCUGUUCAGUUCUGGUAAUUAUAUUCAAGUUCUUGUGAACAACAGUGCUUUCUAAUUUUUCAGUUUUUGUAUCGUUAUACUUCGGUUGCUGUUUGUUGCAUUUUAUGAAGAAUGUUACAGUGGUUCUAUCAAAUCUGAAUUCAUAUUUUUGCACUAUGAUGACACUUUGUUAAGGAAGCAUGUUACGGCACAAAUCUAAAUGUAUUAGUUAUAAGGUCUUAUUUAGUUAUAUAUCCUGGCUGGUAUUUGUAUUCUAAAAUUUGAAGAGGAAGUUAAUCCAGCUUAUAGGACAGUGGUAUGAACUUCUAACUGUAUCCUGAAAUGCUUGGUCACACUGAAAGCAGAGUCAUAAAGAGUAUAGCUGCAGCUAAAGGAGAGUCACAAAAAGUAAACUGGCCAAUCAACUUGCCUUUGAAAGCCCAAGUAUGGGAGAUCCUUAGGUUAUUCAAAGAUCACACCCUGCAAAUAGUAAAUAUAUAUUUAUGGAAGUCCUCUCUAAUCCGAUGUGCCUUAUUUAUUUAGAUGGCAUAUGUAUUCCCAUCCAACCUCCAUAUUCUGAUUCUAUCAUUGAAGCUUAGCCCACAUAAUGAUGACCAGUAUACAUUCUGAUGAUCUGUAGAGUUAGAUAAUCCAUCCAAUGUUGUUACCAAAUCGAUCCAUUUCAUUAAAAUUCUUUUUGUAGCUACAAAAAACAAAAUAUAAGAGGCACUGGGUUCACACGACCUUUGCAAAAACUCUGGUACCAUAUACUUCUCACUACUAGGCAAAAUUUAUUGAUUGACUAUUUUAUGCAUGCAUUGGCAUUGAUCUCCAGAAUAGUUAUGCUCAUUGCCAACUUUAGAAAUAUGAUGAUCUUGAAUUUGUUUACCUUUUAUGACAGGAACCUUACAUAUCUAUGUGCCAGUUUACUGGAAUAACCUCCAACCUUUGUCAUGAUUGGGUUUGGAAAUGUCCCAGGAUACAAAAAUACACAAUGUGACCAGAUAACUAAACAUCUCUAUCACCCCUAGGUCACAAGUGCUGCUUAAAAUCAUGUUGCAAUACUAUUGUACACACGGUUUUAAUCUUCUUACAUAUUUGGUGUGACUUUUCCUAUUUGUUCAUGCGUCUUAUUAACCGAUCACUAGGAAAGGCUAUUUAUAGUCAAAAUAUCCGCAUUGUAAUUCACUAACUGAUUUGAUCCUAACUGGUUAAGGUGCUUUUGUAUACAUACCUGCAUAGUAAUUCACUCAUCAGCUCUGCUUUCGAGCUUGAUGUCUUACUUGUAUUCUCAUCUGUUUCUCACGAUAAAGGAUUUUGAUUGAAAUUACAGGCACCAUUUGUUGGCACGUUGUUGGUGUUCUUCUGGUGUUUACUAGGCACCAUGAAGUGGAAGUCUGAGCAUUGUCCGUGAGGCGUAAAUUAUACUAUGGUAAUCAAGCUUAAUUUUUUUAUAUUGGUAUAGUUCAUAUUGUGUUUUUUUGUUCUGAAUACUGGGAUUGACGUAAAAUAGAAGUAUGAACAUUGCUUGACUUGUGUUAGGGCUCUUUAGUGGUUAGGUUCAGUUGAGUUGGGUGACCAGAACAGAAAUAAACUGAAUAGGCAGUCUUUACCGUAUGGAUUGUUACCAUUUUGAAUUGACAGUAAACAUGAUGUUAAGUCCUUGCUAGUAUAAAGUUUUUUCCCCCUGUAUGAUCAACGGAAACUUGCUUUCAGUCAUUGGUACUCAAAUUAUUAUUUUUAGUGUUCUGUUUUAGUUUUGUUUCCACAUAGAAUGUGGCCAUCUAUUCAGCCAUAACUAUGAUAAGUCAUCCAGUUUAGUUCCACAUAGAACUGUGUAACAUAUACCUCAAAUCUGUGAGCGUGAGCUGGCAAUGCUGUCCAGAAAAUGAAAGGUCAUGUUAGAAAGUCCUGAUAUGCAAUUUACUAUGUUUAUGUCAUUCAACAAUUUUAAGCUAUAAUAUAGUGAUUAUGUAAAUGCUGCAAUGCAGAACUGGAGAUGUAGAUCAGAGAAUGGGUGCAACUGCAAGGAGAAUAGAUUAACAUCACAUCAGUGGUCAUAAACAAGAUCCAUUAACCACUCAAGGUCCACAAAGGCCUUUUGGUGCAGCUUACUACUCUCCAUAUCACUAUUUACAUUUCACUACAUUAUGUACAGUCAUCCAACUGUUGCCAUGCGCCCAAACUUGCCUGCACCACCAACAGAUGAUCCAAUCUCGUCCUUGCACCUCCCUGCCCCUGCACUAACCUCCACUCUUCCACCACCAUUGCUACCCCCACCACCACGGCCUUUACCUUUGUGUGGGCUAGCACACUUCCUGCAAAUGAAAUUUUCAGGGACUUCUUCGAAAUCACUGAUCCCUGAGCACCUGGUGUGCUGCCAGACUCCGCACAUGUCACAUGCUAGCAUACGUUCACCAUCAUCAUCCUUGGCACCACAUGAGCAGUCCACAGUCCAGUUCUCCAAACCCCUUUCCAUCCUGAACUGUACAAUCCUCCGAUAAUCUCCAGUGCAUCGUCCCCUUAACCGAACAAGCUGGCCUGAUCCAAGCACAUGCUUCACAGGGGUUGUGUCACUGAAGUUUGGAAAGUCAGGGAGCUCUUCAGCCUGGAAGCUUUGGAACAUGAGGUACGUCUCUUGAAAUGCCCUUGAAGCCUGCACUUUCAGUUCAGCAAGGGUAGCACUUGCCGGUAAAAAUACAAGUUCGUCUGGAGGUGCUGUGUAGUCUUUCGGGUGAUCAAGUAGUUCAAUGGAGCACCUCACACAGAGCAAGAAUGGGUUUGAAGGAGUCCUUAGAGCAUACUCGUCAUAAUGCUUGAUGAACUGCUUGCAAUCCAGAAUCUUUGCUGCUGCACUAUGUGAUGCUGCACCCACCACCUCUGGUUGUGAAGACAGCAUGGACUCUGGGUUCAGCAGAGCAUCGUAGAGGAAUCUAAGAUCAUGCAGGAGAUGUUCAACAGAAGGCUCAAACAUCGCUGCAUUAACUGGUGACUGAAUGGAGGAAGAUUCCAGCCUGCUCAUCAUGAAAUAAUGGUCAAGAAAACUACCAGACAAAGUUCGGGUAUCAAAAGGGAAGGAAACAAGACUGACCUGUACUCAAUUGCACUUGUCUCAGCAUUGCAGCGGACAGCAACAAAAUGGCCAUCAUCCAGUUGUUUUCCACCCAGUUCUCGAAGAGAAUAAUCAAGCAGCUCCUGUGAAUCAACAGCCUUUGAGGCAGCUCCCCUAAGUGCACGCCAAGAUACCCACUGUCCAGUUUGCACAACCCGGAGGACCUUAAGCAUUGCAGCUUCUGCUCGAUCAAGAUCAUCUUUAGUCCACACACAAAGCACAUUAGAUGUAAGAUCCAUGCGCUUAUAAGUUGAGGGUUUUGACAUCUUCUGAGUUUGAUGAAGCAGGUGCAUAAUGAAGCGGAAAAGGUCCCGUAGGGUCACCAGUUGGCGAUCAGAGAGUGCCCAGUAAAGAGCAAUUGUGUUCUGCAGUGGAGUCCUGAUGGGGCUUCGGUUGGAAAAGUACAGCGCCAGAUGUAUACUGGAAAGCAUGUCUACAGCCGUUCGGUAGGUUUCUGAGGUAAGUGCAAAGCUGCCAGCACCAAACUUGUAUCCCCAUUCACCAUACCAUGGGUGCCCACUUGUGACUGCAUGCAGAAGUCUGUAGUCCAUUCCAUGUUUCUUGGAGAUGUCCAUGACAGUGACCUUCCUGCAGUGAUGGAAAUGAUAGUUAGGUUGAAGGAAGGAUUUUGGAUAAAUGUCAAUUCCAAUUAAAGAUUGCUGUUCUGCUCCUUUCAUUUACCUCACAUAUAGCACCUUGCACAAGCGAUCCCAUAAGCUCAUUAUGUCACGGCCAGUGAGGAAUCUAGAGCCACCUUCACGGCCAUUUACCCUUAGGAGGUGCCCAUAACCGUUGGCAUGCACUACAGCGUGCAGCAAGUGAGAGGAGUCAUCCAGAUGCAGGUAUGCACACUCUUCGAUUUCCUCACCAUCCAUAUCAAAGUUGCAGAGGGCACACCUGGGGAAUGUAUUGCAUUCGAAGUUAGAGAACUUGCAAAGUAGUAUUCAGAGCAUCACAAGUUCACAACACAUUAAUCAUAUUACAUGCUUUAUGAUUUAUUCAGAGCUAGGCAGAGAUAACUUUCUAAGCUGUCUAUGAAAACAAGCCCCAUCCAAAUGCAAUCUAUUUGAAACUCUCUGCAUUUAGAUUCGGGCAUGCACUGAUUCACAGCAUGUAGACACAUCUGAGUACUAUAUAGGCAUCUAACGCACAGCAUAUUGACAUCAACUGGUCAUGUAUUAACGUUGUCAGGUCCCAUUUCCCAUUCGCUGUUAUGCAAGCAUGUAUAUUUUCUGAAAUGUGCCUCCCACCUUGAUUCUCCAGCGACCAUGCGAGUCCCGCAGCGCAGGCAGCAGGUGCGCCGGUGGCCGGAGAGCUGGUUGCAGUCGUUCUCGAUGAUGAAAUGGUAUCGCUUCCCGCAGACUGGGUGGCCACUCCAUCCUGCAACCCAACAAACACAUCAGACACAAGAUUCCAUUGCAGAUGCUGUAUUGCUGUAUGGUAACAGUAUAUGACAAGGAAGAUUGAAUCAAUCAUGGUUAUGGAUGUGAAAGCAACAGCCCAACAAUUCGCUGACAAGACGAAAGCUUCCAGAAAAUUUGGGUGAAACGGGUCGAUUUUUUUAAAAAAAUAGAAAGACGUUGGAUUCAAAAGCCAAUACCGCUCAAUAAAUCGAAAAGAUAACGAGAAGAUCGAAACAAAAC